AUUUGUUUUUUUUAUAUAUAUAUAUAAUUUUUGAUUAGGGUUUGCUUUUCUUGUAAAUACUUUGCUACCAUUUUUUUCUGCCUAACCGGCUAAACCUAUUCUCUUUUGUAUGAAACAAAACUAGGUUUGCUAUUUAUUUUUUUUUUGAUUUAGUUUUAGUUUGUCCUGUUUGAUUUUUAUGUUUUAUAGUGCAGCUGCGAUUUUUAUUGGGUUCAAAAGUACACAGAACUCCGAAUUAUCUAAUCAUUGUUGAUUAUCGUAUGUUAGGGAUUUGGUUUCUGUAACACGAUGAUUCUCUUUUAUCUUCGGUUAUAUCAUGCAUUAGUGAAUUGGAUUCUGUUUUGUUUUAUUUAACCUAAUAAUCUAAUAAAUUACUCAUAGGCGCUACAAAGAAAACCGAGCUAUGAGAUAGUUUCGUGAACAAGCUGAGUCAAAAUCUGCAUUUCAAGGAGAGCUUCUCAUUUUCAUUAAUCAAGGCGACAACACCAGGUUUAGAAUGAAGAACUUCUUUCAAUAAGUAAGCAACAACCGCUUGAGAAGCUCAUCUACAACAAGAGAUGCUAAGGCCUAAAACUGGUGAACCAGUUCUUACGGUGCAACGGCAAAUGGGAUGAUGUCAAAAAUAUCAACUGACUAUGCACUAUAGGUUCAUGUAUGUUGAGGGGUGAAUAUAAUUUUGGUCCUACACGUCCUAGUCACACCUAAUGACCACACUUAUUAGGAAUGGUAAGAGAGAGAGUGUUGACUUUCCAUUGUACCUUGUCCUUCCUGAAAAGCGGGGGUCUAAAACACCACCCAAUAUUUC
Long non-coding RNA from Papaver somniferum (opium poppy), 805 nucleotides. RefSeq lists it as uncharacterized. NCBI's taxonomy places the organism in Eukaryota, Viridiplantae, Streptophyta, Magnoliopsida, Ranunculales, Papaveraceae. The record is from RefSeq and is a predicted model, not a curated record. The transcript is spliced from 3 exons.